GAAUAUCGAUCGAUGUUCCAGUGUGGGUGUCGAUCGAUGUGAGCGGUUGUUUUGCUGGACGAGGGUGGGUAUCGACCGAUGUGGAGUGCACAGCGUCGAACGAUGUUGGAAACGUGUUGGUGAACAUGUGUGUUUCAAGUCUUACAUCAUGCAAAGACAUUUCUAUUGCACGUUCUUUCCAAUAAUCCUCAUCGUAAUCCUCCGUCUGUUCCUCAUUAGGUGAAGUAAUUGCAGUGUCAACUGCAAAACUUUCAUGGAAACCACUGUCUGCCCA
Molecule: long non-coding RNA, 274 nt
Filed under: Brassica rapa (field mustard)
Lineage: Eukaryota; Viridiplantae; Streptophyta; Magnoliopsida; Brassicales; Brassicaceae
Description: long non-coding RNA (BRAP_LNC007598)
Source: RNAcentral